AGUGAACAGUUAGUUAAGAUCGCAAAGCAACUGAGUUCAUUACUCCGCCAUAUUUUUAUCGCCAAUAUACUGUGGUUUCAAAGCAAAAAAAUAAAAUAAAAUAAUUUAAAAUGAAAUACUUGAAGUGUUCGGAAAUACAAUUUAUGAUGAUGGCAUUCUUAAUGCUCCUGCAGUGUUUCAACGUUUUCGGUCUACCCUUAAUAGAAGAUACUUUGAGAGAUUCUAUUAAGUCGGACAUGUAUAUAAGACCCAAUGCAGGAGUCAUUAAAGUAUUAAAAGAAAGAAUUAGAUUCGCAAAUACAGAUCGAUUUGAAAAUAGAAAGUGGUACAAACAUUAGUAGUUAAAUAUAUUGCUGUUCUUAAAUACAUUAUGUAAUAGUGUUCAUUUGUUUGUAAAUAAUUAUGCGUUUUUAUAGAAAUAAUUGUACGUAGUGUAAGAAAAGUAAAAUAAUUAUAAAUAAUAAAGUUAAUAUUGUUAAAAAUCAUUAAAAUCUAAUAUUCCUUGUCUCCUUGAAAAUGUGGUUUAAGUGGUGUUUUUAUAUAUGAUGGCAAAUGUCUCUAUAUUGCCUUGCAAUUAAAAAGUACUGAAUUUGGUCUUUACAGAACUACUGAAAAAGCUUACUUCACAAGCUUACUUUACAAAAAAAAAACAUUUUGCGAAAAGUGUUUAAAUCAACGCUGAAUUUCCUAGAUCGACAGGAAGAAGACUAUGAAUAAUCUCUAAAGAAGAGUAUGAAACAUCGUUACAUAUAUCGAAAGAAAAGAGGAAGUGAAUAUAUAUCACAGUAUUUCGGAGAGCUGGUGACGAGCAUAUCGGUCUGUCUUCCCUCUUGAUACAAUAGUUCCAUAUUUAACACUCCACACUUUUGGUAAAUAAGGAGAAAGAUGGAAAUGAAUUUUGACGUCUUUUAUGCUUUAAGCUAAUUCUGGAAUAAUCUACUAAACGAAAAUGGUAAUUUUGAUGGAUAGUAUCAAUCGCAUUCUUAAGCCACGAUGAGGAUACUUUGCAAAUAGGACUGGAAUCAAAUUGCUGAAUUGAGGGUUUCCAAAUGCUAUAAUUCUCAGUCAACGAUUUGAAUGAAUGCGUUGAACAAUAAAGGAUUUCGAUGAGAUUGAUGAUAAGAUGGAAUUGAAAAUAUAAACUUCAGAAAGAAACCAUAAAAUAUAAUUCCAAACGUUUUAUCAAAUUUUAAAUAGCUUUAGAAACUGCUAUUACGUUGUUCUUACAAUAUUUCAUGAAGCGGGAUUUACUUUUUAAGCAAAUUACUUCCUUUCAGGUUAUUUAAUUUACAUAUUUAUUUCAUCAAAAUCAUAUGUUUCCAAGAUUGGAAUUUAAAGAACCUGCUGAUGUUCGACUGCGGAAAAUAGUGUUGACAAAGAUAACCAGAGAUGAAUCGACGUUAAUUUGUAUUAAAAAUCAGAAAAAUAAAUAUUAUUUUUGGUCCCUUAUAAAGGGAUUUUCAAUAAGAGAGCUACACAAGUUUUUUUUAAAUAAAUCCAAAAACGAUUUGGGAUAGUAAUGAAUGAAAUAUGUAUGAAACUAGAUUCUUUUGCAUGGCCACCACGGGCACGCUUACAGAAGUACAGACCCUGAACACAAUUUUCGACGGUUUUCAAUCAUAAAUCGGCCGAUACUGCUGCAAUUUAACGUUCGAUAUUCGUACAAAUUUCAUAAAUCGUCGGUGGAUUGCUGGUAUAGACCAUAGAUAUGACUUAGCCCCACAGGAAAUAGUCUAACGAUAUUGUCCAAGUCCAUAUCAUCCAAUUCGGCCAAAAAUAUUUGGUUAUCAUUGAGUGGUAGUGAUUCCCAUUCAAAAGUAUGUGUCGGUCUUGAUCACCCCGGAAAAAGUACGGACAAAUAACGCCUUAGGAGAGAGCAAUGUUAAAACAGCGGGACAAAUCUGGCAUCGUUUUUAUCCCUGUUGUCAACUUUUGUAGAUUUAUGAGAACUGAAAUAGUAAUAUGCAAAUAUGCAUACAUCCAAGACCACAUAGGCCCUAUUUUUAAAACAUGUGAUAUUCGUUAUAUUAUUAAUUAUUCGGUAGUUCUGAAUACAAUUUCAGUUCUGGGACUCCCUGCAUAAUAGAUUUACGUCAUUAUCAAUUUUCCUCAUAGAGAAAAAUGUAAUCAUCUAUUAUACAAACUAGUGAUGAGCGAUAUUGCUAUUUUUGAAUCACUGUGAUUUUAGUGAUUGCUAUUUUUAAAUCACUGUGAUUUUAUAUUGGUAUUGCGAUCACAACAAAAAAAAACGAAUUUAUGAGAAUUUAUACUCCACAUUCUUUUUUUUAAUUUUUUACAUUUACAUUUUUAUUAAUUUUAACAAUAUCCAAAAUUUAACUGCUUUCGUAAUCACAAUUAAUUAAUUAAUAAGUUUUAGGUACAUUUAACUGCUUUUGUAAUCACCGCACCCAAAAUUAUCAAAAUCACAACUAAAUUUUCUUCUGUGAUUACUGAACAGUGAUUGCUACUUUCGAACUCUGAUAUUGCUACUGAACAUUGAUUGUUACUUUUCGAACUGCUACGUAUUGCUACAGUGAUCGAAUUAAAAUCACUGAACUGCUAUUGCUACAAUGAUCGAAUUAGAAUUACUGAAGUCGUAUAUGUACUGUGAUCGAACAAAAACAUUGAACUUCUCUAUAGCUACCGUGAUCGAACUUAAAUUACUGAACUGCAAUUGCGAUUGUAAAUCACUGAUAUUUAAAAAAAUUUAUCACAGUUGCUAUAUGUGAUUUUUCAAUCACAGUGAAAAAAUCACCGGUAGUGAAAUAUCGCUCAUCACUAAUACAAACCUCAUUCCGGGUGCUAAGAAACGUGUAGACUAAAUACUUGAUAUCUAAGUUUUUACUAAAGUCAUCACUUGCAUCGACAGAAUUAUUGGAUAUAUUGAUAUUAUCCGAUACGAUUUUUUAGUUAGGUAUGUAGAAAUGCGCAAUGUUAUCGUUCAUAUUGUACAAAAAUUUCAUUCCGAUGCGUAGAAAAAUAAUCCAUGAAAUAAGAAAGAAAGAAUGUGCCGUUAUUAAACUUAUUAUGUUGCAAUAUUUUUUAACCACAGCAACGACGAAUUUGAGUUUUGUUAGAAUUAGGCAUGGUUUUUUUUCAGAAAGAAAGAAAGUUUGGGUUUCUUUUCAGAAAGAACGACAUAUUUUGUGUUUGAAUUAUAUUUGUGAAAAGGGAAUUAAAAUUUUCAUGUUGCUUAUUUCAGCAUUAAAGACACAUUUAACUUAUGUCAGCGAAAUUGAUUUAUAUUUUUUACAAAUAACGACAUAAUUCAGAAACAGGGUCCCUGCAAGACGGAGGUAACAAACUGCACAAACACAAUCAAACUUUUUCAGCUGUUUACACAUACAAUUACAACUCUUACUUUCGUAAGAACACUGAUCGAAAUUUUUGGAAUUUGGUCAAGUUUUCGAGACAUUAAGCACUGUACAUGUCCACUUAUUUAUAAUUUAGGGCCUUUUUCUGGCUUUAGUUCUUGUAUUUCCAUAUUUUCCGAUCAAUUUUAGCCAUUUUACACUAUUUAGAGGGUUAAAGAAAACAUUGCUGUUAGAUCUCAAACGUUUUUACCCCAUUGGAGAUUAUGGGGCAAUAGUUGGACCUCUUCAAACUAAACCCUUUGCAUGGAAUAUUAAAAAGACAAUAAUGGGUAAUUCAGUUAUGAAAAAAAGCAAAAAUUAAUCACCAACUAAUUGACAAAUUCAUUGUACAUGCCUUUACGAAGAAUAGGUAACGGUGAAGUACGGUUAACUGUAUAACACGUGCUUAACAAGUCAAAUAAUCGAAGUGUGUAAAGUUUUUCUUGACACUAACAAAAUUGAAUGAUUUUUGUUUUUUGUUGUUCUUGGUUGGUUUUUGCAUUGCUUUCGCAGCUUUUUUUGCAUCACAUCUCUUGAAAUACUGUAAGUAACCAUCCCUGAUUCAAAAAAUAUGUUGCACUGAAGUAAAAAGUAAAAAAUUUGGCUGCGGAAAGUGAAAAAGUGUAUUUAUUUUCUAUAUGAAAAGAAGAAAAAUAAAUAUUAAAAGCUUUGUAAAUACUAGUGGCCAUUGUAUAUUGUGUAGUUCCAUUAUGUAUUAUUUCCCAUAUA
Long non-coding RNA from Zeugodacus cucurbitae (melon fly), 4082 nucleotides. RefSeq lists it as uncharacterized. Lineage: Eukaryota; Metazoa; Arthropoda; Insecta; Diptera; Tephritidae. The transcript is spliced from 4 exons. The record is from RefSeq and is a predicted model, not a curated record.